RNAcentral lists this transfer RNA (74 nucleotides) under Chloroflexota bacterium. RNAcentral describes it as "Chloroflexi bacterium (anaerobic digester metagenome) tRNA-Lys". It matches the Rfam family "tRNA". From Rfam's summary of the family: Transfer RNA (tRNA) molecules are approximately 80 nucleotides in length. RNAcentral also lists the same sequence under 1 other name. Lineage: Bacteria; Bacillati; Chloroflexota. The record is from RNAcentral.
GACCCGUUAGCUCAAUUCGGUAGAGCAGUUGACUCUUAAUCAAUUGGUUGGAGGUUCGAGUCCUCUACGGGUCA